GACGAACGCUGGCGGCGCGCUUAACACAUGCAAGUCGAACGGAAAGGCCCUGCUUUUGUGGGGUGCUCGAGUGGCGAACGGGUGAGUAACACGUGAGUAACCUGCCCUUGACUUUGGGAUAACUUCAGGAAACUGGGGCUAAUACCGGAUAGGAGCUCCUGCUGCAUGGUGGGGGUUGGAAAGUUUCGGCGGUUGGGGAUGGACUCGCGGCUUAUCAGCUUGUUGGUGGGGUAGUGGCUUUCCAAGGCUUUGACGGGUAGCCGGCCUGAGAGGGUUACCGGCCACAUUGGGACUGAGAUACGGCCCAGACUCCUACGGGAGGCAGCAGUGGGGAAUAUUGCACAAUGGGCGGAAGCCUGAUGCAGCAACGCCGCGUGCGGGAUGACGGCCUUCGGGUUGUAAACCGCUUUCGCCUGUGACGAAGCGUGAGUGACGGUAAUGGGUAAAGAAGCACCGGCUAACUACGUG
This 468-nucleotide ribosomal RNA is filed under the name uncultured bacterium. RNAcentral describes it as "partial 16S ribosomal RNA". It matches the Rfam family "Bacterial small subunit ribosomal RNA", at positions 28 to 507 of the family's 1533-position model. The record is from RNAcentral.